CUCCUGCUAAGCAUGCAAGUAAAUGAAUACAUUUAUUAAGAAAAAGAAAGAAGAAGCAAGCUUCUGCUGAGGUACCUGGGAUAAAUUUUGUCUCUACAACAUUUUCCUGCCUCCAAUGAUCUAACUUCAACUUCAUCUCAAAGACCUAUCAAGCAGAAUGCAGAGCCCUCUGCCAAAUUUCUGUCCUUAUGAGCAAACUUUGGACUUCAGAAUUGUUAGUCAAAUUAGUUUGACUACAGCUUCUGAAAUGGGUGCCACAAUGGUCAAAUACCUCCAGUGCUCUGGAUUCUCCAGAAGGCUUGG
Molecule: long non-coding RNA, 303 nt
Organism: Catharus ustulatus (Swainson's thrush)
Lineage: Eukaryota; Metazoa; Chordata; Aves; Passeriformes; Turdidae
Exons: 3
Source: RefSeq, a predicted model, not a curated record